Molecule: ribosomal RNA, 253 nt
Filed under: uncultured bacterium
Lineage: Bacteria
Description: partial 16S ribosomal RNA
Rfam family: Bacterial small subunit ribosomal RNA
Source: RNAcentral
UACGUAGGGGGCAAGCGUUGUCCGGAAUCAUUGGGCGUAAAGCGCGUGUAAGCGGCUUGGUAAGUCCGCUCUGAAAGCCCGGGGCUCAACCCCGGGAGGCGGGUGGAUACUGUCAAGCUCGAGUCCGGAAGAGGCGAGUGGAAUUCCUGGUGUAGCGGUGAAAUGCGCAGAUAUCAGGAGGAACACCAAUGGCGAAGGCAGCUCGCUGGGACGUGACUGACGCUGAGACGCGAAAGCGUGGGGAGCAAACAGG